AACUUUCAACAACGGAUCUCUUGGUUCUGGCAUCGAUGAAGAACGCAGCGAAAUGCGAUAAGUAAUGUGAAUUGCAGAAUUUUGUGAAUCAUCGAAUCUUUGAACGCACAUUGCACCUUUUGGUAUUCCGAAAGGUAUUCUUGUUCGAGCGUCGUUU
Molecule: ribosomal RNA, 157 nt
Filed under: Gomphillus calycioides
Lineage: Eukaryota; Fungi; Ascomycota; Lecanoromycetes; Ostropales; Graphidaceae
Description: 5.8S ribosomal RNA
Rfam family: 5.8S ribosomal RNA
About the family: 5.8S ribosomal RNA (5.8S rRNA) is a component of the large subunit of the eukaryotic ribosome. It is transcribed by RNA polymerase I as part of the 45S precursor that also contains 18S and 28S rRNA.
Source: RNAcentral